GGUCCCUUCUUUUAUUAAAAGAAAAAAAAAUUAAAAACAAAAACCAUUAUUAUAAUAUUAACUGGUAGCUUCAAAAAAUACAACUUAAAUUGAUACACAAAAGAAAUGCCAAAAAUAUUAAAUGGUGUUUCCAUUAUCGGGCAGCUCAAUAACUCAACCACUCCUCUGACUCACUUUCUGCCACCCCUUUACUUUGAUUCCUUUUCUAUUCAUAAUAUAUAUAUAUAUAUAUAUAUUUACUUUUAUUUUUCUUACCGUCCUACGGUCCAAAAUGGGUCCAUCAUUUCUAGGUUACAACAAUUUAUAGGGUAAGCUAAUUAGUAGUUAAUUAGUAGACCAUAUUUGAUGACACAAUCAAACCAUCACCCCCAAAAUCAAAUGUUUUUUUAUUUUAUUUUAAUAUAUAUGUAUGUAUACAAUUUAAUUUAUGCUAUUUCAGUUAAUAAAUUUAGAGGGGUACUAAUUAAAUUGUUGCAGCAAGCAGGCAAUGGUCGUACGAGGUGUUAACAUCAGGGUCAUCUGCAAAAUCCAACGGUGGAUAUAAAUAUAUGUAUAUGAUGAUGAUGAUGAUGAUGAUGAUGAAAUAGAGCAAAUGUGUUUAAUUUAGGUGAAAGAUUGAAAAUGAGAGAGAGAGAGAGAGAGAGAGAGAGAGAGAGAGAGAGAGAGGGGGGGGGUGGGGGGUGCAUGGGGUCGUGGUCAUUUCUGGAAGUGAGAACCCAGCUGGUAGGGUCGAGUCUGCACCAAUGUUUUGUCUUUUAUAACGUUGGCUUUCCACCCUCUUAUUUUUACUUCAUAUAAGCCCCCCCUCCACCCCUCAUUGCCCAUAUCAUUCUCAUUCAUUAUCAUCCUCACUCAGUUCUCACUCUAGUCCGUCCUCCCCCCCCCCCCCCCCCCCCCCCCCCAACCCCCCUCUCUCUCUCUCUCUCUCCUCCCUUUCCUUCUCUCCCUCUUUUUUCUCUCUCUCUAUCUCUCUCCUCCCCCCUUGAAGCUAGCCGAGACUCUUGGGGGAUUUGGAGAUAAAAGAAACCAGGGAGAAACAGAAGCUCCUUUUAAAACAAGAUCAUCAUCACCAUCAUGAUUAUGUGGAGCUUUGCCUCUUGAGGGGAAUGUUGUCUGGCUCGAGGACACUUGUUUAUUUUUAUUUUUGUUGAUCUAUAAUUUUAUAGAUCGUCAAAGAAUUAUAGUAUCGGGCUUUGAGCUUUUGAUUAAUUAGUGUCGUCGGACCAGGCUUCAUUCCCCCCAAUUAACAGCUUCCAUACCAAUAGCUUAGCUUUCAUCAUCAUGGGAUGCAUGUAAAGAUUGGUGUAAUGAUGGUGUAUUUUGACUAUUUUUAUAUAUCUUUUUCCUCGUCAGUUUGGGUAAAAGUUUCAUCAUUGCUUAGAGCUCCUUUUCUUCUGAAGUUUCUUUUUUUUUUUCUUCUUUCUUCUGAUAGUGUUAUGAUGGUGUUUUUUUGUCAGCUAAGCUUACUCCUUUCUGCUUCAUCAUUACGCUGAUGAUGGGUUUUCCAGCAUCUGAUCUGUCUGUUUCUGCCAUUUCAGAUCUAGCUUUCUAUUUUGUUUAAACAUUCUCCUAUUUUUCACGUUAUCCUAAUCUUCUCUCUCUUAGGGUUUCGUGGAGAAAGGAUUUUUGGCUCUACUAUCCAAAUAAAUAAAGCUUUUUGAAUAUGGCAUGAAGAAAAAACUUUGCCAAGAUUGAAAAAAAGGCAGAAAAGUGACACACCCUCUUCCUCAUUGUUGGAGAUCCAUGUUCACUUUUUAUUAUUUGUCAAAAGGAAAAAACAAAAGUUGGGGUUAAUUUAGAGAUUAAGGCUAGGCAUUGUUUGGUAUUAGGUCUAGUAGAACAAGAUUAAAGCAGAUACCAAGGAUUUGGUAUUAUACAUGUUAAGCUUAUAGACAUGUAUUAUUUGGUACAUGGUUUAGGAUUCAGCUGUCUUCUACCGGCUUCAAUAAUGUUGAAGGCGUAAUUUCUUUUUAUCCAACUCUUCCUCACCUUUUCUUUUUGUAAAACAUGAUGCGUAGAUUUCAGCACAAGACAAAAACAACUUUGGGAAAGUAGGGGUGUUAUUUUUAUUUUUAUUUUGUGUGUGUGUGUGUGUGAAUAUUGGUGUGUACUUUUUAUUUAUUUAUUUAUUUAUUUUGUUGGUGUGAAUAUUGGUGUACUUGAGAGGCAACCAGUUUGUAUUAGUAUUUUAUCUCAUUUGAAACCCUAAUUUUGUUCAACAUUGACAAUGACAUUGUUGUACUACUGUUUAAAAAAAAAAAUUCGGUGACUCAAAUAUUCUUCCAUAUCCCUAUCUCUUCCCCACCCAAAAAGUCAAUCCCCUCUUCUGCCUUUUCUCUUGGCUUUCUGUCACUUCAGAUUUUUAGUGAAAGGUAGCUGAAUUUUCCUUCUUCAUAUUCUAAUGUAAAUAGAGGUGGUUUCCAUGUAACUUUUUGCUCAAGGUACAUUGAACAAAUUGGCUAAAUGCAGAGGAAAUUGGGCACUCCCUUGGACGAGUACAGGUAAUCUAGAUAUGCAGGCCUCACCAUGCUAUAAUACUAAAUUAUCAUUUGAAAGUUUGUGAGCUUUUCCUCUGUUUAUUAGUAUCAGAAUAUACGGUCUUUUGGAAACACUAUCAAACCCCAGGUUUGAACUAAUUUGCUUCUUAUUGUAUUGCAUUAUGCUCUAAUGUUCUUUUCUUGAAAGCUCAGGGAUACUAGAGAACCUCACAAAGAACACAUAUUGAAGAUGCAUUUGUAGGUGAAGGGUAACACCGAUUAAAGCUUAAAGUAGGCCUCAAACACAUACAUGCAUGCACUUGAUCAUCAAUAUAAAUUACCUUCCUGAAAGUAAACCAUGUCUUACAUGACCAAAAGCAGGUCGUUUUGGAAUCAAGGAAGCAAAUUGCUUCCUUGAAAUAGAAGUAUUGUACAUUGACUAAGAGUAAUCAAAUGCAUUUCGUCGUUUAAAAUGUA
Long non-coding RNA from Ziziphus jujuba (common jujube), 2954 nucleotides. RefSeq lists it as uncharacterized. NCBI's taxonomy places the organism in Eukaryota, Viridiplantae, Streptophyta, Magnoliopsida, Rosales, Rhamnaceae. The record is from RefSeq and is a predicted model, not a curated record. The transcript has 2 exons.